AUCUAGGUAUCACCAAGUCUAUUUCAGUCACUUUACAGGGAAGGAGGCUCUAAGCCAGGGAAAAGAUGCAACUUGUCCAAGUUGCAUAACUAGUUGGAAUCAGAAACCAGCUUUUCCUUUAUGUCUGAAGUGACAGUCAUAAUUUUUUAAAUGGUUUUGCGUCCAUUCCCAGAGUAAAAGCAUACGUUGACAGUCUCAGCUGGGAAACAAAAUUUCCAUUAUUUGCAUUCUUACCUUUUUCAGGUGUGGCCGAAGAUGGUGGUGGUGCUCCAGAAUUAGAAGUGAGAACAAUGUCUGUCAUGGAGCUGAGAAGCUGGAAUAGCUGGGGUAUUUUAUAACAACAUACAGCUCAUGUGUGGCCCACAUAUAGGUACAUAGAAUACUUCAAGCUUUCACAAAACUUUUUGCUUUCUCUCAGUGGACUCGAUAUCAAUGAUUUUUUUUUUUGAGCUCUGAUAACAUUGCACUAAAUUCUGAAUUUACUGUAGAUCCCCCUAGAAAUUAAUAAGUUAAUCAGGGAAAUGAACUUCACCUUCUCAUCAAAUUCUAAAGUGUUUUAUUGCCUAUACUUGGCAUAGAUUUUUAAAAUUAAAAAACAGUAUAAUUGGCUCUCUUUCUGGUGUAUACUUCUAUGAGUUUUAAUACUGUAUAGAUUGUGUAACUACCACCACAUAAGGAUACAGAACAUUUUCUUCUCCCUAAUGUACUCCCUGAGAGAGAUUUCUACAGCCUCUCCCAAGCCAAGAUAAUGGCUUAGAUUUGCCUUAGACUUGUGCAUUCUACCUUCACAAAGAUUAUGCUCCUCAGUGCCUACGACAUCCCCUCGUCCAUACCAGUUGUUGCUGCUACCCUGUCCAUGAAUGGCUAAGUUACCUAGUCUCCCUGUGACUUCAUCCACCUAUUUAGAUAUACCCUAAUAGCUUUUUAAAUUUGUUUCCCCACUAAACAGUAAGCUCAGUCAGGGUAAGAGCUAUAUCUGUCUUGGGUAUAGCUAAACUUUAGACCAUCAAUGUCUAUAUAAUAAAGGAACAAAUAAAUGAAUUCUAUUUUAGUGGAAACUAUUCAAAGUCCUCUCUGUAUUUACCUGACGAUUACCAUGUGUAUCAGUUAGCUAUUGCUGGGUAACAAACCACCCAAAAGCUCAAUGACUUAAAGAAAGGGUCAAAAAGCUUUUCUGUGAGGGCCAGAAAGUAAACAUUUCAGGCUUCGCAGGUCAGUCUCAAUUGCAACUACUUGUUGCAACUACAGUUAUAGGUAACUCUGCCAUUAUAGCAUGAGAGAAGCCAUAGUCAAUAUGUAAACAAAUG
Molecule: long non-coding RNA, 1307 nt
Filed under: Macaca mulatta (Rhesus monkey)
Lineage: Eukaryota; Metazoa; Chordata; Mammalia; Primates; Cercopithecidae
Description: lncRNA (ENSMMUG00000038080.2)
Source: RNAcentral